UUACAUUUGAGUGAGUGGCGAACUGGUGAGUAACACGUGGGAAACCUGCCCAGAAGCGGGGGAUAACACCUGGAAACAGAUGCUAAUACCGCAUAACAACUUGGACCGCAUGGUCCGAGUUGAAAGAUGGCUUCGCUAUCACUUUUGGAUGGUCCCGCGGCGUAUUAGCUAGAUGGUGGGUAACGGCUCACCAUGGCAAUGAUACGUAGCCGACCUGAGAGGGUAAUCGGCCACAUUGGGACUGAGACACGGCCCAAACUCCUACGGGAGGCAGCAGUAGGGAAUCUUCCACAAUGGACGAAAGUCUGAUGGAGCAACGCCGCGUGAGUGAAAAGGGUUUCGGCUCGUAAAACUCUGUU
Molecule: ribosomal RNA, 359 nt
Filed under: Lactiplantibacillus plantarum
Lineage: Bacteria; Bacillati; Bacillota; Bacilli; Lactobacillales; Lactobacillaceae
Description: bacterial SSU rRNA
Rfam family: Bacterial small subunit ribosomal RNA
Source: RNAcentral